RNAcentral lists this ribosomal RNA (628 nucleotides) under Penicillium janthinellum. RNAcentral describes it as "eukaryotic LSU rRNA". It matches the Rfam family "Eukaryotic large subunit ribosomal RNA", at positions 1 to 643 of the family's 3401-position model. The record is from RNAcentral. Lineage: Eukaryota; Fungi; Ascomycota; Eurotiomycetes; Eurotiales; Aspergillaceae.
UUGACCUCGGAUCAGGUAGGGAUACCCGCUGAACUUAAGCAUAUCAAUAAGCGGAGGAAAAGAAACCAACAGGGAUUGCCUCAGUAACGGCGAGUGAAGCGGCAAGAGCUCAAAUUUGAAAGCUGGCCCCUUCGGGGUCCGCAUUGUAAUUUGCAGAGGAUGCUUCGGGAGCGGCCCCCAUCUAAGUGCCCUGGAACGGGCCGUCAUAGAGGGUGAGAAUCCCGUCUGGGAUGGGGUGCCCGCGCCCGUGUGAAGCUCCUUCGACGAGUCGAGUUGUUUGGGAAUGCAGCUCUAAAUGGGUGGUAAAUUUCAUCUAAAGCUAAAUACUGGCCGGAGACCGAUAGCGCACAAGUAGAGUGAUCGAAAGAUGAAAAGCACUUUGAAAAGAGAGUUAAACAGCACGUGAAAUUGUUGAAAGGGAAGCGCUUGCGACCAGACUCGCUCGCGGGGUUCAGCCGGCCUUCGGGCCGGUGUACUUCCCCGCGGGCGGGCCAGCGUCGGUUUGGGCGGCCGGUCAAAGGCCCUCGGAAUGUAACGCCCCCCGGGGCGUCUUAUAGCCGAGGGUGCCAUGCGGCCAGCCCGGACCGAGGAACGCGCUUCGGCUCGGACGCUGGCAUAAUGGUCGUAA